This 99-nucleotide small nuclear RNA is filed under the name Zalophus californianus (California sea lion). RNAcentral describes it as "U2 spliceosomal RNA (ENSZCAG00015004502.1)". It matches the Rfam family "U2 spliceosomal RNA". From Rfam's summary of the family: U2 is a small nuclear RNA (snRNA) component of the spliceosome (involved in pre-mRNA splicing). Lineage: Eukaryota; Metazoa; Chordata; Mammalia; Carnivora; Otariidae. The record is from RNAcentral.
AACGCUUCUCAGCCUUUUGGCUAAGAUCAAGUGUAGUAUCUGUUCUUAUCAGUUUAAUGAAGUGACAUUAAAAUACAAUAUUUUGACUAUUCAUCCUCA